RNAcentral lists this ribosomal RNA (1074 nucleotides) under uncultured organism. RNAcentral's name for it is "bacterial SSU rRNA". It matches the Rfam family "Bacterial small subunit ribosomal RNA", at positions 106 to 1213 of the family's 1533-position model. The record is from RNAcentral.
GUGAGUAACACGUGGGUGACUUGCCCCGAAGAUGGGGAUAACCUCUGGAAACGGGGGCUAAUACCCAAUGUGCUCGGUGAUUCGGUUCAUCGAGUAAAGCUCCGGCGCUUCGGGAGAGGCCUGCGGCCCAUCAGCUAGUUGGUAGGGUAACGGCCUACCAAGGCAGAGACGGGUAGGGGGCGUGAGAGCGCGGACCCCCACACUAGCACUGAGAUACGGGCCAGACUCCUACGGGAGGCAGCAGUAAGGGAUAUUGCGCAAUGGACGAAAGUCAGACGCAGCGACGCCGCGUGGGCGAUGAAGGCCUUCGGGUUGUAAAGCCCUUUUAUGGGGGAAGAGAAAAAGGACGGUACCCCAGGAAUAAGUCCCGGCUAACUACGUGCCAGCAGCCGCGGUAAAACGUAGGGGACAAGCGUUAUCCGGAUUCACUGGGCGUAAAGAGCGUUGAGGCGGUUCCGUAAGUUGGGCGUGAAAGCUCCGGGCUUAACUCGGAGAUGUCGUUCAAUACUGCGGGGCUUGAGGACAGCAGAGGAAGGUGGAAUUCCCGGUGUAGUGGUGAAAUGCGUAGAUAUCGGGAGGAACACCCGUGGCGAAGGCGGCCUUCUGGGCUGUUCCUGACGCUGAAGGCGAAAGCUAGGGGAGCGAACGGGAUUAGAUACCCCGGUAGUCCUAGCUGUAAACGAUGGAUGCUGGGUGUGGGGGGUGUAAAUUCCCUCUGUGCCGAAGCAAACGCGUUAAGCAUCCCGCCUGGGGACUACGGCCGCAAGGCUAAAACUCAAACGAAUUGACGGGGGCCCGCACAAGCAGCGGAGCGUGUGGUUUAAUUCGAUGCUACACGAAGAACCUUACCUGGGUUUGACAUGCACGUGGUAGGGAACCGAAAGGGGACCGACCUUCGGGAGCGUGCACAGGUGCUGCAUGGCUGUCGUCAGCUCGUGCCGUGAGGUGUCGGGUUAAGUCCCGUAACGAGCGCAACCCUUGCCGUUAAGUUACAACGUGUCUAAGGGGACUGCCCGGGACAACUGGGAGGAAGGUGGGGAUGAUGUCAAGUCAGCAUGGCCUUUAUAUCCAGGG